UACAGAGGGUGCAAGCGUUAAUCGGAAUUACUGGGCGUAAAGCGUGCGUAGGUGGCUUUUUAAGCUGGAUGUGAAAUCCCCGGGCUUAACCUGGGAACUGCAUUCAGGACUGGAAAGCUCGAGUCUGGGAGAGGGUGGUGGAAUUUCCGGUGUAGCGGUGAAAUGCGUAGAUAUCGGAAGGAACAUCAGUGGCGAAGGCGACCGCCUGGCCUAAGACUGACACUGAGGCACGAAAGCGUGGGGAGCAAACAGG
RNAcentral lists this ribosomal RNA (253 nucleotides) under uncultured bacterium. RNAcentral describes it as "partial 16S ribosomal RNA". It matches the Rfam family "Bacterial small subunit ribosomal RNA", at positions 524 to 776 of the family's 1533-position model. The record is from RNAcentral.